Molecule: ribosomal RNA, 297 nt
Filed under: uncultured bacterium
Lineage: Bacteria
Description: partial 16S ribosomal RNA
Rfam family: Bacterial small subunit ribosomal RNA
Source: RNAcentral
CUCCGCUACGGGGGGCAGCAGUGGGGAAUAUUGCACAAUGGGGGGAACCCUGAUGCAGCGACGCCGCGUGGGUGAAGGAGUACUUCGGUACGUAAAGCCCUAUCAGCAGGAAAGAAAAUGACGGUACCUGACUAAGAAGCCCCGGCUAACUACGUGCCAGCAGCCGCGGUAAUACGUAGGGGGCAAGCGUUAUCCGGAUUUACUGGGUGUAAAGGGAGCGUAGGCGGUUUAGCAAGUCAGAAGUGAAAGCCCGGGGCUUAACUCCGGGACUGCUUUUGAAACUGUUGAACUAGAUUG